UCUACCCUACGGGAGGCAGCAGUAGGGAAUUUUCGUCAAUGGGCGCAAGCCUGAACGAGCGAUGCCGCGUGAGUGAAGAAGGCCUUCGAGUCGUAAAGCUCUGUUGCGGGGGAAAAAGGCAGCAUCAGGAAAUGGGUGCUGACUGAUGGUGCCCCGCCAGAAAGUCACGGCUAACUACGUGCAAGCAGCCGCGGUAAUACGUAGGUGGCGAGCGUUAUCCGGAAUGAUUGGGCGUAAAGGGUGCGCAGGCGGUCCUGCAAGUCUGGAGUGAAACGCAUGAGCUCAACUCAUG
RNAcentral lists this ribosomal RNA (292 nucleotides) under uncultured bacterium. RNAcentral's name for it is "partial 16S ribosomal RNA". It matches the Rfam family "Bacterial small subunit ribosomal RNA", at positions 332 to 618 of the family's 1533-position model. The record is from RNAcentral.